UGGGGAAUAUUGGGCAAUGGGCGAAAGCCUGACCCAGCGACGCCGCGUGAGGGAAGAAGGUCUUCGGAUUGUAAACCUCUUUCAGCAGGGAAGAAGAAAGUGACGGUACCUGCAGAAGAAGUCACGGCUAACUACGUGCC
This 140-nucleotide ribosomal RNA is filed under the name uncultured bacterium. Its description in RNAcentral is "partial 16S ribosomal RNA". It matches the Rfam family "Bacterial small subunit ribosomal RNA", at positions 355 to 509 of the family's 1533-position model. The record is from RNAcentral.